This 407-nucleotide ribosomal RNA is filed under the name uncultured bacterium. RNAcentral describes it as "partial 16S ribosomal RNA". It matches the Rfam family "Bacterial small subunit ribosomal RNA", at positions 30 to 526 of the family's 1533-position model. The record is from RNAcentral.
AUUGAACGCUGGCGGCAGGCCUAACACAUGCAAGUCGAGCGGAGCGGCAGACGGGUGAGUAAUGCCUAGGAAUCUGCCUGGUAGUGGGGGAUAACGUCCGGAAACGGGCGCUAAUACCGCAUACUAUCAGAUUAGCCUAGGUCGGAUUAUCUAGUUGGUGGGGUAAAGGCCUACAAAGGCGCCGAUCCGUAACUGGUCUGAGAGGAUGAUCAGUCAAACUGGAACGGAGACCCGGUCAAGACUCCUAAGGGAUGCAGCAGUGGGGAAUAUUUGACAAUGGGCGAAAGCCUGAUCCAGCCAUGCCGCGUGUGUGAAGAAGGUUUUCGGAUUGUAAAGCCCUUUAAGUUGGGAGGCGUUACCAACAGAAUAAGCACCGGCUAACUUCGUGCCAGCAGCCGCGGUAAUAC